GAUGAAGAACGUAGCGAAAUGCGAUAGGUAAUGUGAAUUGCAGAAUUCAGUGAAUCAUCGAAUCUUUGAACGCACAUUGCGCCCUUUGGUAUUCCUUAGGGCAUGCCUGUUCGAGCGUCACUACACACCUUAUCACAAUAUUUGUGGUCUUGGCAGGAGUGAAUUGCUGGUCUAUGGAAGUAUUCCAGCAGUACACAAUGCUAAAAAAUAUGGGAAGGUUACCAGAUAUGAACAACAGACUUUGUAAAUGGUUGUAGGACCUAGAUCAGUCACAAGUCAUGUCUGGUCCCUUACCUUAAGGACCCCCAUCCUAGAUGAACUAUGGGUGGACCUCGGAUCAGGUAGGAAUACCCGCUGAACUUAAGCAUAUCAAUAAGCGGAGGA
This 384-nucleotide unclassified non-coding RNA is filed under the name soil metagenome. RNAcentral describes it as "partial contains 5.8S ribosomal RNA, internal transcribed spacer 2, and large subunit ribosomal RNA". The stretch from base 1 to 120 matches the Rfam family "5.8S ribosomal RNA", at positions 35 to 154 of the family's 154-position model. The record is from RNAcentral.